CGUAGGUGACCUGCGAAGGAUCAUA
This 25-nucleotide ribosomal RNA is filed under the name Arthrobotrys thaumasius. RNAcentral describes it as "partial 18S small subunit ribosomal RNA". The record is from RNAcentral. Lineage: Eukaryota; Fungi; Ascomycota; Orbiliomycetes; Orbiliales; Orbiliaceae.